Perca flavescens (yellow perch) is the source of this 1228-nucleotide long non-coding RNA. RefSeq lists it as uncharacterized. The record is from RefSeq and is a predicted model, not a curated record. NCBI's taxonomy places the organism in Eukaryota, Metazoa, Chordata, Actinopteri, Perciformes, Percidae. The transcript has 4 exons.
CGCUACUUUACGUAAGAAAUUGCCGAGAUCGCGUCGUGUUUAUUUUCAUUACGGUUGCUCGUUCAGAAGUCAGAGACGAUGUGUCCAGCUCAAUGAAAGUGACUGUACAGACGGUGACGGCGGUGCAGCUGGAGAGCAUCCGUCUUUCCUAUACCAUGCUAUUUGUGGGGUGUGCAGGGCAAACUGGGAAUAGCAGCAUGAUUCAGCGCUACAGGGUCAGGAUCUAUGAUAAUGUACCAUGGGGAACAUUUCCAUAUAAUGAACACAGUACUCUUUAGAGGCCCUCUUGAGGAACGAAGAUGAGGACACACAGAUAAAGAGAAACGACAAAAAAGGAGAUCAAGAGAGAUUUCAGGAUAGAAAGAGGGAGAAUAAAAGAGGAGUAUGGAGAGAAAAGAGGGGAAUAGUGGAGACUGCAAUAAUGAGAGAAAAAAUGUAAUGGGAGAGACAAAGAAGUAAAAGAGAAAGAGAAAGAGAGAUACAACUGCCAUGAGCUACACACCCAAACCAAUCUGGACCAAGUGGCUGCCACUGUUGCUGGAGCCGGCUCCACAUGACACACAAGUGUGAAAUUGGUGUGGAAUUGAGGCGCAUGGGACUUUGUGGCACAGAGGAGAGUGAAGGGUCAGACGUGGCCGCAGUCAUCACUCCCAUCUUCUUCAGUGUUACCUCGUCUGUCACUGAGAUGGAGCGAGAGAACGCAGGACGAGAGGCAGCUUGUGGGCCUGACAGAGAAAGAGAGAGCGAGAGAUUUUUUGUAAUUGUUCCACAAUUUUUCUUCUCUAUUUGCUUUUCACGUUAUGCAAAUAAAGCAAAUUGAAGUUGUGAGAAUAAGAGAUGGAUAAAUAAUGAGAUACACAAUGGAAGAAACAACAUUAAAGAGAUAAAAGAGAAAGAAAAGCAGAAGAGGCACUGCGAAGAAAGGAAACUGAGGGACAACUCAACUGUGUUUGAGUUUUCAAUUUAUUUAAGUAUACUUAAGAUCUGUGUUGUACAUUUAGAUUCCCAUUAGUUAAAUCCCUUAUUGGUAUUCAAUCCACAAACGCAACUUUUUAUUAGUAAAUGACAUCCAUUUACUUUUAUUACGGCAAAUGAAUGAAAUGAAAACUAUCAUUCGGUCUGUGCAGAGAUAAACGCAGUGGCAGUGUUUGGCCUGUAGGGGGUCAUGGCGGUGCUGCGAGCUGCAGCAGGUUGAGCAAUGACUGCAGAUUUGUUGCAGCUUGAUGUC